RNAcentral lists this long non-coding RNA (10738 nucleotides) under Xyrichtys novacula (pearly razorfish). Lineage: Eukaryota; Metazoa; Chordata; Actinopteri; Labriformes; Labridae. The record is from RNAcentral.
CGAGCAGAUUAGCGGAGGACCACACGGCAGGCAAGAAAGCUGGAACUCGUGAGCAGGGAAUUGUCCACGGUCUCAAUUUGCUCUACGAGUGUGGUGAAAGGGAAAACGCUCAAACUCACAGCUGGAGGAAGAUUUCUGGGAGAGUGGUUCAGGCGAGGAUUGGGUGAGGAUCCAGAGCUUGCAAUGACGCUGGCAGAACCGACGUCUGCAGAGGAGGUGAGUUGGCGAGGUGAAGCUGACGAGAAGGGGGAUCUUGACAGAGCAGGAACAGGCUGAGUGCCACCCAGCCGCAGGCAGACGAAUAGCAGGAAACAGGCAGGCAGAGCUCGUAGUCAGGGACAGAAGGCUAAGGCGUGAAGCAAAGGUCAGGGGCAGAUCAGGUCGAUACUAGGUAAGCUGUCAGGGAAUGAAUGCUGGAGAGUUAAGCAUGAGAGCGACGACAAUCUGGCAAAGAGUGAGGGGAAAGAAGCUGCAUAUAUACUGGCCUGAUUGGAGAUGAUGAGCAGGUGAGAGCAGCAGGUGGAUGCAGUUAGCUGAUGAGGGGUGUGGCUGAGCAGCAGAGCAGGAGAGGCACAGGGCAGACUGUUACACAUUAUCAAUAAACUUAAAUAUCUCAAACUCUCAGUCACUGAAUUAAAGUUAUUUUAACUGUUAAUUUGAUUUAAAUUAGGAUUUUCUCACCACUGGCGUCUCUGAGGUCUCUUGCAGUGAUGCCACCAAACACUCUCUCUGCAACAAAGAGUGACACACCUGUCCCUGAGCCUCUUUAAAACCUCUGCCUAGCAUUCCCCACUCUACCUGCACUUGCUGUACUUUACCUGCCCUGCUGAGGCUCUUCAGUGGAAGGGACAAACCUGAAAAACAUAAAUCUAAACAGUCACAUAAAAAAUGUCAAAAGACUGUCCUGACAAAGACUAUGCUGAGAUGGUGCCCAAAGAGGAGUUGCACCAUGGUGACGGGAAAGUAUGGUACAUACCACACCACAGAGUCUACCAUCCCACUAAAAGAAAGAUCAGAGUUGUGUUUGAUUGUGGAGCAAGAUACCAAGGAACAUCACUCAAUUCUCAGCUGCUAAAGGGCCCCGAUCUUACCAGUUCUCUGAUUGGAGUGGUUACUCGGAUUAGGAAGGAACCAGUUGUGAUCAUGGCUGACAUAGAAGCCAUGUUCUGCCAUGUUCCACCAGGUCCAAGUCCCUCCUGAUGACAGAGACCUUCUCAGGUUCCUCUAGUGGCCUAAGGGUAAUAUGCAUCAGCCACCCAAGUAUUGGAUAAAGGUGCACUUGUUUGGGGCUACAUCAUCUCCCAGUUGUGUUCCUAAAGACUUUAAAAACAGGCACUGGACUGUGUAGAGUUGAGAAGAUGUUUCGCCUCUUAUCCAAGAAGCUUCUUCAGUUCUAAUUAUUGCUAGUGUGAGGAGCAGAUAUUUAUCCUACUGGAGAAAGGGACAGACAACAACUGGGAGGAGUUUGGAAUGAAUGGGUCAGAGAGACCCAUCUCCGGGUGUUCCCCCCUGAGGGUCGUUAACCUGAAAGGGUCGUUAACCUGAAAGGGUCGUUAACGACCCCUGUCAUGUGACCACAUGAAUCAUGCCAUCUGAGUCAUGUGGUCUCAGGUGUGAAUGUUUGUGGAGCUUCCUGGGGAGAGAGCUGAGAACUGCAUUGUAAGUGCCAGAGAGGUUGCGCCUGAGUCCACCCCCUCUGUUCAGAGAAGUCUUCUCAACUCUACACAGUCCAGUUGCCUGUUUUUUAAGUCAGGCCGUUCAUUAACUCCAGGCAACUGCAAAAUGCAUAAAAGCAUUUCCAAUAAGAAUAGAGACAUGCUUCAUAUUCAUUCAUUCCUGAGGAACUUGAACUUUCCAAUCAAAUAAAAUCAUUUCAUUGGUAUGCUUGCUAUGCCAACAGAAGGGUGCCAAAAAAUAUGGCAGUAUAGGUUGGUUAUUUGGAAAACCAUUAGAGAUAGAGUUCUAUAAUUGUGUUUCUUGGAUCACUUCACGUUAGGCUCAGUGGAGAUUCUCUGUAAGUCUGUGAUGCAAUGUGUGGCAGGCAGGCCGACCUGAGAGUCCAUUAUCACGGAGAGAGUCAUGACUGGUCUUUUGUUGGUGCUGGACAGACCAGCAGACUGCUUGUGGAGUGUAUGACUGCAGUUCAAAGUGUGAAUGACAAAGAGGAAAGUGAGUGAUGGAGGGGGGAGAGAGGAGCUGAAGAGGAUGAUUGAAAGCUCAACCUGAGAGUAAAGAACUAUGUCACAGUUAUAGUACUUGAGCCAAGAACCAAAAUUUCACAUAUCGGUACCACCUGGGUGGGCAAAUUCUAGUUGUGAUUUUUUUAUUGCUAUACAUCCCUACAAUAAGUUUUUAUAUGAUAGACCUUGGUAACUGGUAGCUUUAUUGUAGUUAUCACUCAUUGAAGUAAUAGAGUGCAGCUGUUCAAGAACGAAAAAUCGCCUUCCUUCAAAAUUAGCUUUCUUUCAUUUUAACCUCUCAUUUAGGUGUGUUUGAACUAUUGGCUAGCCAUAGAGACUUGUAAUAACCCCCUAAGUAGUAUUUCAAGCAAUUUUUUUAAUACAGGUGUGUAUAUAUAAGCUUCAAUUAGCCAAUUGUCAGGUCUAAAUCAAGGUCUAAAUUAAGGAUAUUUUUUGACUUAGAAGUAGAAGUAAAGUAAAUGCAGACUAAUAGCAUUAUAAUAAAAUAACCUUAAUAUGACACUGACAUAUUUUAAAUGCAGGCACUCAAUAUACAAUCAUCCUGGCUGGUGCAGGGCAAGAAGACAUUAGCAACAAAAUAAGAUCUACUGAUGUAUACACUCUAUACAAUCAUCUGAGAAAAACUCCAUUCCUCCACCAAGAACUUGAUGAGACUGGCUUUGUCGGCAGGGCUGCAGAGAAGUUUCCUCCACUGCUGAAUAUAUUGGCCAGAAACAAUGUUUCUGAACUGGAUCCCCAUGUCUGCACCUCUGUUUAGUCUUUCUGAAUUUUUGAUUGACAUGUCUUUAAAUUUAAACUUUAUUUCACUGAAAGCUGUUAAUUUACCAAAAGAUGUAAAGGCGGAUGAAGGUAGUGACAAUGGUUAAAAAAAGAACCAGGGUUAAGUAACGACAUCCAGGGUAAUAAAUCAAACGGAAAAGUUCAUUCUUUGAGGUUAAACAACCAACUUAAUACAAGCACUAGGCGGAGAAAAACACCAAUACAAUAAAAAUGACAGGCUAAGGUAAUGAAGGAAACAGCAAAUGCACUGCAGGCUCCACUGCCACCAUAGGCCUGCUCAGUCCAGCCACUACUGAACCACACCAUGAGUCACACAUUCUUCAACCAUUUCCACACAGGAGCGAUGACUGGAGGGAAUGUAAAGAGAGACCACAUUUACAUAUAGUACUUGAGCCAAGAACCAAAAUUUCACAUAUCGGUACCACCUGGGUGGGCAAAUUCUAGUUGUGAUUUUUUUAUUGCUAUACAUCCCUACAAUAAGUUUUUAUAUGAUAGACCUUGGUAACUGGUAGCUUUAUUGUAGUUAUCACUCAUUAUAAUCAUAAUACAGGUGUGUAUAUACACUCACCGGCCACUUUAUUAGGUACACCAUGCUAGUAACGGGUUGGACCCCCUUUUGCCUUCAGAACUGCCUCAAUUCUUCGUGGCAUAGAUUCAACAAGGUGCUGGAAGCAUUCCUCAGAGAGCUUGGUCCAUAUUGACAUGAUGGCAUCACACAGUUGCCGCAGAUUUGUCGGCUGCACAUCCAUGAUGCGAAUCUCCCGUUCCACCACAUCCCAAAGAUGCUCUAUUGGAUUGAGAUCUGGUGACUGUGGAGGCCAUUUGAGUACAGUGAACUCAUUGUCAUGUUCAAGAAACCAGUCUGAGAUGAUUCCAGCUUUAUGACAUGGCGCAUUAUCCUGCUGAAAGUAGCCAUCAGAAGUUGGGUACAUUGUGAUCAUAAAGGGAUGGACAUGGUCAGCAACAAUACUCAGGUAGGCUGUGGCGUUGCAACGAUGCUCAAUUGGUACCAAGGGGCCCAAAGAGUGCCAAGAAAAUAUUCCCCACACCAUGACACCACCACCACCAGCCUGAACCGUUGAUACAAGGCAGGAUGGAUCCAUGCUUUCAUGUUGUUGACGCCAAAUUCUGACCCUACCAUCCGAAUGUCGCAGCAGAAAUCGAGACUCAUCAGACCAGGCAACGUUUUUCCAAUCUUCUAUUGUCCAAUUUCGAUGAGCUUGUGCAAAUUGUAGCCUCAGUUUCCUGUUCUUAGCUGAAAGGAGUGGCACCCGGUGUGGUCUUCUGCUGCUGUAGCCCAUCUGCCUCAAAGUUAGACGUACUGUGCAUUCAGAGAUGCUCUUCUGCCUACCUUGGUUAUAACGGGUGGUUAUUUGAGUCACUAGCCACGUUUACAUGCAGACUUUUUUCUCAUUCGGAUUAUAAUCAUUCCGAUUGAAGCUCCCAGGCGAACUGUUUACAUGGAAGUGAUCUAUUCUGAUCUGGUGUUUACAUGUGCCACGGCAUUCAAUCGGAACAGCUAUUUACAGACACGUGAUACCUUCAAACAUCACGUGAUUGAUUGAUCACGUGAUCUCCGACGCAGACCAGUGCAUCGCGCUCUGCUUGGAAGCCGCCAUCAUGUUUCCAUGUGAGUCAUACGUCACUGCUUGUUCACAUCAGGACAGAGCAUGCGCAGACAGAACCCAGCCUGACAACUUUCCGAUUCACCGUUUACAUGACAGGAUUUUGCUUUUAAUUGGAAUGGGAAAAGGAAAAUUCUACCCCUGUGAAUCGGAAUGAAAUUCCAUUCGGAAUGGGCCUGUUUAUUCUGAAUGAGGUGUUUAUAUGGAGCAUUUUCAUUCCGAUUGGGCUUCUAAUCCGAUUAUAUUCGGAAUAUUUGGCUCCAUGUAAACGUAGCUACUGUUGCCUUUCUAUCAGCUCGAACCAGUCUGGCCAUUCUCCUCUGACCUCUGGCAUCAACAAGGCAUUUCCGCCCACAGAACUGCCGCUCACUGGAUAUUUUUUCUUUUUCGGACCAUUCUCUGUAAACCCUAGAGAUGGUUGUGCGUGAAAAUCCCAGUAGAUCAGCAGUUUCUGAAAUACUCAGACCAGCCCUUCUGGCACCAACAACCAUGCCACGUUCAAAGUCACUCAUAUCACCUUUCUUCCCCAUACUGAUGCUCGGUUUGAACUGCAGGAGAUUGUCUUGACCAUGUCUACAUGCCUAAAUGCACUAAGUUGCCGCCAUGUGAUUGGCUGAUUAGAAAUUAAGUGUUAACGAGCAGUUGGACAGGUGUACCUAAUAAAGUGGCCGGUGAGUGUAUAAUGAGUGCCUGCAUUUAAAAUAUGUCAGUAUCAUAUUAAGGUUGUUUUAUUAUAAUGCUAUUAGUCUGCAUUUACUUUACUUCUACUUCUAAGUCAAAAAAUAAACUUAAUUUAGACCUUGAUUUAGACUUGACAAUUGGCUAAUUGAAGCUUAUAUAUACACACCUGUAUUAAAAAAAAUGCUUGAAAUACUACUUAGGGGGUUAUUACAAGUCUCUAUGGCUAGCCAAUAGUUCAAACACACCUAAAUGAGAGGUUAAAAUGAAAGAAAGCUAAUUUUGAAGGAAGGCGAUUUUUCGUUUUUGAACAGCUGCACUCUAUUACUUUAAUGAGUGAUAACUACAAUAAAGCUACCAGUUACCAAGGUCUAUCAUAUAAAAACUUAUUGUAGGGAUGUAUAGCAAUAAAAAAAUCACAACUAGAAUUUGCCCAUCCAGGUGGUACCAAUAUGUGAAAUUUUGGUUCUUGGCUCAAGUGCUAUGAUACCUGAAAGAACUGCUCCACCAUCAAAUUGGGCCACUCCCACUUCAUCAACUCAUUUAAUUAGACACAGGUUUGAUUCAUUUAUAGAAAAGAGCAGUGUGACCCAAAAAGAGUAUGACUUUUAAUGUGCUUUUGACUUUCUGUGUUGCUUUUGGAGUUAACAAAAAUUCGCCUAUUGAGGAAAAUAACAAAAUGAGAAAAAAUAUAAAAAACUACCCCUAUGAAAAGUCUAUCAUAUUUUAAUUUACUUAUAUUGACCCUAAAAACAAUUUAGUAUAUGUAAGGUUUUGCCCACUCAAGUGGUACCGACAUCUGUUCCGGCUCAAGGACUAUUAAUGGUUCUCACAUACGCACGCACGCACGCACGCACGCACGCACGCACACACACACACACAAACAAACAAAAUACUUUAUCACUAAUAGUGCUCCUUACACUAUUUUUGAUCUAUUAUUCCUUUAACAGGUUAAUUAAAUGUAAUUAUAUUAAGAAAGGAACUCAAUUUUGUUAAAAGGCCCCUUUUUAACAUCAACCUUUGUCAUUUUGGGCUCUUAAUUUCUACUUUCUGCACACACACUUUGAGACAGAGCUGACUGGCAUGGGGGUUGGGGCUGUGUGUGUGUGUGUGUGUGUGUGUGUGUGUGUGUGUGCAGAGCGUUUUAGUGCAUGGGGGGAAGGGGUGAGUGUAGGUUGUCCUGGCAUGCUGCCAGUCCCUUGGUUUCUUGAUACCACUGUGUGUGUGUCUGUUUGUGUCUAUUUCUCUGUGUGCGUGUGCGUUUUAGUGCCCAAUGGGGGUCUGCCAGCAUGACAGGCGUCACCAAGGCAACAACAGAGCAGGUUCCAGAUGCAAUGCAUCAUAUUUCUACAGAAAGACACACACACACACACACACACACAAAAUGAGAAAAAAACCUUUGGUUAGUCAUGCUGAUAAAUUUGAUUAUGAUGGACUGGGUCUCAUUUAAAUAUUCAUUUUCCCUGAAAUUCUCUUUCACACUCUGAUAACUUAUUGGCUGCCUCGAUCAAGGAUUACAAUUUGCCAAAAUUUGAAUUAGCUUGAAAAUUGGUUGUUUCCUUUAUUCUUUCAUAUGUAUUUUUCACUGUUAUAAAGCUGAUCUUUGAUCCUUGAAGUGAUUUGUAUUUGAUUGACUGAGACUGAUAGGUCCUGUCUCUUAUCUGGAGGGAAUCAGUGCAGUGCCUGAGAACACAUCACCGGAUGGUUUCAUGCACCCAUAAACGCCGGCGGCGUCUACUGAGGAUGUACAGAUAUGCGGCAGCACAGAUGAACUGAAAACUGAGCUAGUGACGUUCUCAUGGAUGACGUCACCGGCGACCAGCCGCGACCUGCGACUGCAGCUUUGGACCCGUUGUGAACACACCAGAGCACCACGCGACGCGACAUGACCGACCAACGCGACGCGACGCGACGUGACGUGACGUGACGUGACGUGACGUGACGUGACGUGACGCGACGCGACCUGGUCGCGUUUGGUCUGAAGGGCCCCUUUAAAGGGGCGUUCAGACCAAACGCGACGCGACCUGGUCGCGUCGCUUUGGUCGGUCACGUCGUGUCGCGGGGUGCUCUGGUGUGUUCACACCGGGUCCAAAGCUGCAGUCGCAGGUCGCGGCUGGUCGCCGGUGACGUCAUCCAUGAGAACGUCACUAGCUCAGUUUUCAGUUCAUCGUCCUCGGUGCUGCCGCAUAUCUGUACAUCCGCAGUAGACGCCGCCGGCGUUUAUGGGUGCAUGAAACCAUCCGGAGAAGGACGGAGCUAGGUGAAUUUCACCGCUUGCUCCAGGAACUCCGCCUGGACGACGGCCGCUUCCAGCGGUAUUUCCGUGUGUCGACGGCGCAGUUCGAGGACCUCCUCGCCCGGGUGGGAAGCAGCAUCUCCCGCCUGGACACGAAAUACAGGCGCUCCAUCUCAGCUUCGGAACGCCUGUCUAUCUGUCUGUCCCUCAUAUAAACGUCCCUAAGCCCCUUCCACCGCUUGCGGCACACAUCCACUGCAAAGACACACACACAUAUGUUGAAACAUGUAGCCUAGCAAGCAGGGGCAGUUAGCUAUGUUUUCAUAAAACAGUCCGCUCACUGAAAUAAAUAAAUAAACCAACAAGCUUACCAAAAAGCCCGACAUCACGGGCCACCUUCCCCCAUGCUUCUUCUUUGGCGUUGUGGUCCCGGUACAGCCCGCAACCCACGUUGUAUAGCACCGGGUGGUAGCUAACGGAUGUGAUUAACUGCUCCUCCAUUGUGAUUCUUCUUCUCCUCUUCCUUGUUUCGCCGGUUUGUUGACGUCAGCAGAGCCCUGAUUGGCUGUCGCGGCACGGGGUCGCGGAAAGUCGCUCCCAAAGUUCAAAUAUUUGAACUUUGGGAGCGACGCGACUUGGCAUCCUGCGACCUCGGCGACGCGACUUGGCGACCUGGUCACCAAGUCGCUUCAGGUCGCGUCACAGGCAGCCGGCGGUCGCCAAGUCGUGUCAGGUCGCAGCUGUCCAUAGACUUUGCAUUGGGAGCCGUCGCCGAGGUCGCGUUCAGACAGACCAAACGCGACGCGUUGGUCGGUGACGUCGCGUCGCGUGGUACUCUGGUGUGUUCAAAGCAGGUCCAAAGCUGCAGUCGGAGGUCGCGGCUGGUCGCCGGUGACGUCAUCCAUGAGAACGUCACUAGCUCAGUUUUCAGUUCAUCUGUGCUGCCGCAUAUCUGUACAUCCGCAGUAGACGCCGCCGGCGUUUAUGGGUGCAUGAAACCAUCCGGAGGAGGACGGAGCUGGGUGAAUUUCACCGCUUGCUCCAGGAACUCCGCCUGGACGACGGGCGCUUCCAGCGGUAUUUCUGUGUGUCGACGGCGCAGUUCGAGGACCUCCUCGCCCGGGUGGGAAGCAGCACCUUCCGCCAGGACACGAAAUACAGGCGCUCCAUCUCAGCUUCGGAGCGCCUGUCUAUCUGUCUGUCCCUCAUAUAAACGUCCCUAAGCCCCUUCCACCGCUUGCGGCACACAUCCACUGCAAAGACACACACACAUACGUUGAAACAUGUAGCCUAGGCAAGCAGGGGCAGUUAGCUAUGUUUUCAUAAAACAGUCCGCUCACAGAAAUAAAUACACAAACAAACUUACCAGAAAGCCCGACGUCAUGGGCCACCUUCGCCAAUGCCUCCUCCAUGGAGGUGCGGUCCCGGUAAAAUGCGCACCCCACGUCGUACAGGACCGGGUGAUAACUCACGGCAGUGAUUAACUGCUCCUCCAUUGUGAUUCUUCUUCUCCUCUUCCUUGUUUCGCCGGUUUGUUGAUGUCAGCAGAGCCCUGAUUGGCUGUCGCGGCACGGAGUCGCGGAUAGUCGCUCCCAAAGUUCAAAUAUUUGAACUUUGGGAGUGACGCGACUUGGCGUCCUGCGACCUCGGCGACGCGACUUGGCGACCUGUUCGGCAAGUCGCUUCAGGUUGCGUCACAGGCAGCCGGCGGUCGCCAAGUCGCGUCAGGUCACGGCUUUCCAUAGACUUUGCAUUGGGAGCCGUCGCUGAAGUCGCGUUUGGUCUGAACACCCCUUAAUACUGUUUAUCCUCCCAAAUUUUUAAGAUGGUUUGCCAGUAGAGGUGUCAAUCAUGCCAAUCCUGUUUGCAGCAUCAAAGUUAAGGUUGCGGGUGCUGCCCGCACAAAAAAAAAAAACAAUUAGGCUACUGGACACAGGUCCUAAACGUAUACCCUUUUAACAGCAUCAAAUAACCAAAUACCACUAUACUGUUCAGAAAAAUAAACAACAGCAAAAAGUUGUUAUAAUGAAGAAUAACCAUAAUAAGAUGAAUCAUGUUUGAGAAAAAUUACGACACAUAUUUUAGGAUUGAAGUUAAAUCCAUGUCUCAUCUGUUAGCUUUCUGACAUAUAUGACAGCCAACCCAUGGGAAUAUAAAGGCAAUAUAUCAGUCAUUAGUUGUAUUUUGUUUAUAUUUUAAACCACUGCAACAGUUCAAAAUAGAAUUGGGAGGAGUUAGUAGGUAUAAAAUUUUGCUAACUGAUAACACGUCACAUCAAAAUAAUCUGCAAUAAGAAGCCUUGCACAGCUCAUCCUCGCUUGUUGACACUGUAGCAAAAACAUUACCUCCUCUCUGUUUAUGAGCAUGUGACAUAUAAAAGACUACUACUAACCCUUUGGGAGCUACUGAGCCCAAACUAUCUCUGAUAUGGAGUUAUAGAGUGAGACUUUGUCCUGCACUCCAGGGAAUGGCAGCAAACCUGAUGAAUGCAUUUCUGUGUUGCCAAAUGCUACAAAGCAUUUAAAAUAGCAAUGGUGUUUGAUGUUGUCACAGUUGCAUCAUUUAUGUUAAAGCUCUGCAUUUAUAAAAUAGACUAAAAUUAACAUUGCUGUAUUUUUUUUUUUUCAGUUUUUUUUUUUCCUUUUUUAAUGGACAGGACAGAGAGGAAACGCGGGAGAUAAAGAAAGGGGAUGACAUGCAGCACUUGGUUGGACUUGAGCCAGUAACCACUACGGGAACCAUGGUCCCCAAACGUAGGACAUACUAACCCACUAGGCGAUCUGCACGUCCCAUUGGUGUCUUUCUAUAUGAAAUCUAAAAGGCAACAUCAGCAACAAUAUUGAUGAUUUUUAUAUUGUACUUUUUAAUAAACUAAUGUCAGGGGGAAGGUGUCAGCCAAGCAACUGAGGACACAACACAGUUGUAUGAAAUAUUCAAAAUAGAUUAUACAUGUGAUGAUCAAAAGUCAGGAAGAUGAUAUUUUUUUGUCAGAAGAUGCUACUUAAAAGUGAAUGGCCUGUAAAUCCUUCUUUAUUUGAUGGAAUGCAGCUGAGAUUUGUUUAGGACACACGUGAUGGGGUACCAGACAGGCACAAAAAUCAGCUCCAAGUUUCAAUUAACUGCGCCCACGUGGCACUAUAAAAUGUCCAAAAAAAUAGCAUACUGUGACAAUGUGAUAGAUAUGCACAGCCACAUGAAAUUUGGUACACAGAUCAGGA